GAUGAACGCUGGCGGCGUGCCUAAUACAUGCAAGUCGAGCGAACAGACGAGGAGCUUGCUCCUCUGACGUUAGCGGCGGACGGGUGAGUAACACGUGGAUAACCUACCUAUAAGACUGGGAUAACUUCGGGAAACCGGAGCUAAUACCGGAUAAUAUAUUGAACCGCAUGGUUCAAUAGUGAAAGACGGUUUUGCUGUCACUUAUAGAUGGAUCCGCGCCGCAUUAGCUAGUUGGUAAGGUAACGGCUUACCAAGGCGACGAUGCGUAGCCGACCUGAGAGGAUGAUCGGCCACACCGAGACGGAGACACGGCCCGGACACCUACGGGAGGCAGCAGUGGGGAAUAUUGGACAAUGGGCGAAAGCCAGAUCCAGCAAUGCCGCGUGAAGGAUGAAGGCCUUAGAGUUGUAAAGCUCAUGUACCCCGGAAGAUAAGGACGGUACCGGGAGAAUAAGCCCCGGCUAACUCCGUG
Molecule: ribosomal RNA, 472 nt
Filed under: uncultured bacterium
Lineage: Bacteria
Description: partial 16S ribosomal RNA
Rfam family: Bacterial small subunit ribosomal RNA
Source: RNAcentral